This 95-nucleotide microRNA precursor is filed under the name Loxodonta africana (African savanna elephant). RNAcentral describes it as "miRNA (ENSLAFG00000033263.1)". The record is from RNAcentral. Lineage: Eukaryota; Metazoa; Chordata; Mammalia; Proboscidea; Elephantidae.
AAUCACAACUUGGCUCUACACAACUCCAGAGGGCGUCAUUCACACAGAUCAAGGUAUGACUGGCGCCCCCAGAGUUGUGUAGUUCACUGCCUGCA